Oryza barthii is the source of this 148-nucleotide non-coding RNA. Lineage: Eukaryota; Viridiplantae; Streptophyta; Magnoliopsida; Poales; Poaceae. The record is from Rfam.
AGUGCAGGAUUGUGUGUAUCGGCAUUACGCUGCUUAUAUGCUGUGCGUUUGUUGCCGAAAGUGUUUCCUGCUAUAGAAAUUUGAGGAGAGUGGGCAGUUGGGUUAAGCUUGAUAUCAGCUUUUUCCAACAAUCAUUUUCCUCACAUGU